ACGGAGGGUGCAAGCGUUGUCCGGAUUUAUUGGGUUUAAAGGGUGCGUAGGCGGUACGUUAAGUCAGUGGUGAAAUCCUUCCGCUCAACGGGAGAACUGCCAUUGAUACUGGCGUACUUGAGUAUGGACGAGGUAGGCGGAAUUUAUGGUGUAGCGGUGAAAUGCAUAGAUACCAUAAAGAACACCGAUAGUGAAGACAGCUUACUAGACCAUAACUGACGCUGAGGCACGAAAGCGUGGGGAGCGAACAGG
Molecule: ribosomal RNA, 252 nt
Filed under: uncultured bacterium
Lineage: Bacteria
Description: partial 16S ribosomal RNA
Rfam family: Bacterial small subunit ribosomal RNA
Source: RNAcentral